This 74-nucleotide transfer RNA is filed under the name Candidatus Lloydbacteria bacterium RIFCSPHIGHO2_02_FULL_54_17. Its description in RNAcentral is "tRNA-Gln". It matches the Rfam family "tRNA". From Rfam's summary of the family: Transfer RNA (tRNA) molecules are approximately 80 nucleotides in length. Their secondary structure includes four short double-helical elements and three loops (D, anti-codon, and T loops). The record is from RNAcentral. Lineage: Bacteria; Candidatus Lloydiibacteriota. RNAcentral also lists the same sequence under 2 other names.
UGGGGGAUCGUCUAACGGUAGGACAGUGGCCUUUGAAGCCAUUAAUCUAGGUCCGAUUCCUAGUCCCCCAGCCA